AAGACAUUAGUAAAAUGAAAAUUAUCUCACCUUGUCAAGGUGAAGUCGUGGGUUAGACCCCCGCAUGUCUUA
RNAcentral lists this transfer RNA (72 nucleotides) under Gymnodiptychus pachycheilus weiheensis. RNAcentral's name for it is "tRNA-Asp". It matches the Rfam family "tRNA". Rfam says of the family: Transfer RNA (tRNA) molecules are approximately 80 nucleotides in length. Their secondary structure includes four short double-helical elements and three loops (D, anti-codon, and T loops). Further hydrogen bonds mediate the characteristic L-shaped molecular structure. tRNAs have two regions of fundamental functional importance: the anti-codon, which is responsible for specific mRNA codon recognition, and the 3' end, to which the tRNAs corresponding amino acid is attached (by aminoacyl-tRNA synthetases). tRNAs cope with the degeneracy of the genetic code in two manners: having more than one tRNA (with a specific anti-codon) for a particular amino acid; and 'wobble' base-pairing, i.e. permitting non-standard base-pairing at the 3rd anti-codon position. Lineage: Eukaryota; Metazoa; Chordata; Actinopteri; Cypriniformes; Cyprinidae. The record is from RNAcentral.